Molecule: ribosomal RNA, 258 nt
Filed under: uncultured bacterium
Lineage: Bacteria
Description: partial 16S ribosomal RNA
Rfam family: Bacterial small subunit ribosomal RNA
Source: RNAcentral
CGGCCCUACGGGACGCAGCAGUGGGGAAUAUUGGGCAAUGGGCGCAAGCCUGACCCAGCAACGCCGCGUGAAGGAAGAAGGCUUUCGGGUUGUAAACUUCUUUUCUCAGGGACGAACAGAUGACGGUACCUGGGGAAUAAGCCACGGCUAACUACGUGCCAGCAGCCGCGGUAAUACGUAGGUGGCAAGCGUUAUCCGGAUUUACUGGGUGUAAAGGGCGUGUAGGCGGGGACGCAAGUCAGAUGCGAAAACCACGGG